GAUGAACGCUGGCGGCGUGCUUAACACAUGCAAGUCGAGCGAAGCACUUAUGAAAGAUUCUUCGGAUGAUUUCAUUUGUGACUGAGCGGCGGACGGGUGAGUAACGCGUGGGUAACCUGCCUCAUACAGGGGGAUAACAGUUGGAAACGUCUGCUAAUACCGCAUAAGCGCACAGUACCGCAUGGUACCGUGUGAAAAACUCCGGUGGUAUGAGAGGGACCCGCGUCUGAUUAGCUAGUUGGUGGGGUAACGGCCUACCAAGGCGACGAUCAGUAGCCGACCAGAGAGGGUGAUCGGCCACAUUGGGACUGAGACACGGCCCAAACUCCUACGGGAGGCAGCAGUGGAGAAUAUUGCACAAUGGGGGAAACCCUGAUGCAGCAACGCCGCGUGAGUGAAGAAGUAUUUCGGUAUGUAAAGCUCUAUCAGCAGGGAAGAAAAUGACGGUACCUGACUAAGAAGCCCCGGCUAACUACGUGCCAGCCGCCGCGGUAA
Molecule: ribosomal RNA, 495 nt
Filed under: uncultured bacterium
Lineage: Bacteria
Description: partial 16S ribosomal RNA
Rfam family: Bacterial small subunit ribosomal RNA
Source: RNAcentral